CAGUAAGAUAACUCAGAACACUAACUAACAGCUAAACUACUAAGGUAACUCAGGACACUAACUAACAGCUAAACUACUAAGGUAACUCAGGACACUAACUAACAGCUAAACUACAAACAGUAAGUUAACCUAGACUCAGGACACUAACUAACAGCUAAACUACUAAGGUAACUCAGGACACAAACUAACAGCUAAACUAUUAAGGUAACUCAUGACACUAACUAACAGCUAAACUACUAAGGUAACUCAGGACACUAACUAACAGCUAAACUACUAAGGUAACUCAGGACACUAACUAACAGCUAAACUACUAAGGUAACUCAGGACACUAACUAACAGCUAAACUACUAAGGUAACUCAGGACACUAACUAACAGCUAAACUACUAAGGUAACUCAGGACACUAACUAACAGCUAAACUACUAAGGUAACUCAAGACACUAACUAAAAGCUAAACUACUACGGUAACUCUAACUCCUGACCAAUGAUGUGGUCUGUGGAGCCUAUUCUUUCUGAGGAUAGUAUCCACUGUGGUCUUUCACUUUGUUGGACAUCAUGAUCAAACUAACGGCACAAAACCAAACUAGCGUGAGGCUACUGAACUCCUACAGCACGGUGUGAACCCCAAUCUCUGCCGGGACUCUCUCUCCUUACCUAAUUACGGUCCUAUUCUCUGAGGAUAUCCUCUGUCUUGUCAUUACGUUGACCGUGUCUACGUUCUGAAUAUUUCAGUUUUUCGUCCCGGCUAAUAAGAUGCGAAUGUUUGUUUGUUUGUGUUUUUAUGAAUAUUCAACACAAUGUCAUUUUAACUGCCCUCUGUCUAUUAUAAUUUCACAAAACAACGAAUGAAACUCAUAUCGAUCCCUCAUUUCCCCCACAGCUAAAGGCUGGAGUUAUGAAUACCGUGGGCAUUCCCAAGACAAAGUCAAGGCCCCUGGACGAGUCUCCAUCCCGUUGCUGUGAUGAAGUCUGUCUUUACUGACCAGCUGCUCUUUCUGUCUCAUUUAUACUCCACUGUGCUGAAUGCUUUGUUACCAUGUUAGUUUGUCUUAGAUGUGAGUCAUAUUUUUCAUAUCGUGCAAAAUUAUUUUUAUUAAUAAAAAUUGAAAAAA
Molecule: long non-coding RNA, 1111 nt
Organism: Oncorhynchus tshawytscha (Chinook salmon)
Lineage: Eukaryota; Metazoa; Chordata; Actinopteri; Salmoniformes; Salmonidae
Source: Ensembl